GAUUCGUCACACUAUCAUUAACUGAAUCCAUAGGUUAAUGAGGCGAACCGGGGGAACUGAAACAUCUAAGUACCCCGAGGAAAAGAAAUCAACCGAGAUUCCCCCAGUAGCGGCGAGCGAACGGGGAGGAGCCCAGAGCCUGAAUCAGCAUGUGUGUUAGUGGAAGCGUCUGGAAAGGCGCGCGAUACAGGGUGACAGCCCCGUACACAAAAGCGCAUGUGCUGUGAGCUCGAUGAGUAGGGCGGGACACGUGGUAUCCUGUCUGAAUAUGGGGGGACCAUCCUCCAAGGCUAAAUACUCCUGACUGACCGAUAGUGAACCAGUACCGUGAGGGAAAGGCGAAAAGAACCCCGGCGAGGGGAGUGAAAAAGAACCUGAAACCGUGUACGUACAAGCAGUGGGAGCACCCUUCGGGGUGUGACUGCGUACCUUUUGUAUAAUGGGUCAGCGACUUAUAUUCUGUAGCAAGGUUAACCGUAUAGGGGAGCCGGAGGGAAACCGAGUCUUAAUUGGGCGUUAAGUUGCAGGGUAUAGACCCGAAACCCGGUGAUCUAGCCAUGGGCAGGUUGAAGGUUGGGUAACACUAACUGGAGGACCGAACCGACUAAUGUUGAAAAAUUAGCGGAUGACCUGUGGCUGGGGGUGAAAGGCCAAUCAAACCGGGAGAUAGCUGGUUCUCCCCGAAAGCUAUUUAGGUAGCGCCUCGUGAAUUCAUCUCCGGGGGUAGAGCACUGUUUCGGCUAGGGGGCCAUCCCGGCUUACCAACCCGAUGCAAACUGCGAAUACCGGAGAAUGUUAUCACGGGAGACACACGGCGGGUGCUAACGUCCGUCGUGAAGAGGGAAACAACCCAGACCGCCAGCUAAGGUCCCAAAGUCAUGGUUAAGUGGGAAACGAUGUGGGAAGGCCCAGACAGCCAGGAUGUUGGCUUAGAAGCAGCCAUCAUUUAAAGAAAGCGUAAUAGCUCACUGGUCGAGUCGGCCUGCGCGGAAGAUGUAACGGGGCUAAACCAUGCACCGAAGCUGCGGCAGCGAACGUAUCACCCAAGACAACUUUACGGAGUUGACGAUUGACGGAGCGAAGCGACGUCAAAGCGUUCAUUAAAGUCGAGUUGGCUUAGGGAUACGUUCGUUGGGUAGGGGAGCGUUCUGUAAGCCUGUGAAGGUGUGUCGUGAGGCAUGCUGGAGGUAUCAGAAGUGCGAAUGCUGACAUAAGUAACGAUAAAGCGGGUGAAAAGCCCGCUCGCCGGAAGACCAAGGGUUCCUGUCCAACGUUAAUCGGGGCAGGGUGAGUCGACCCCUAAGGCGAGGCCGAAAGGCGUAGUCGAUGGGAAACGGGUUAAUAUUCCCGUACUUGGUGUUACUGCGAAGGGGGGACGGAGAAGGCUAUGUUGGCCGGGCGACGGUUGUCCCGGUUUAAGCGUGUAGGUGUGUGUUCCAGGUAAAUCCGGUUCACUUUAACACUGAGGCGUGACGACGAGGCACUACGGUGCUGAAGCAACAAAUGCCCUGCUUCCAGGAAAAGCCUCUAAGCAUCAGGUAACACGAAAUCGUACCCCAAACCGACACAGGUGGUCAGGUAGAGAAUACCAAGGCGCUUGAGAGAACUCGGGUGAAGGAACUAGGCAAAAUGGUGCCGUAACUUCGGGAGAAGGCACGCUGACACGUAGGUGAAGUGAUUUACUCAUGGAGCUGAAGUCAGUCGAAGAUACCAGC
RNAcentral lists this ribosomal RNA (1715 nucleotides) under Salmonella enterica subsp. enterica serovar Typhimurium. RNAcentral's name for it is "partial 23S ribosomal RNA". It matches the Rfam family "Bacterial large subunit ribosomal RNA", at positions 137 to 1790 of the family's 2925-position model. Lineage: Bacteria; Pseudomonadati; Pseudomonadota; Gammaproteobacteria; Enterobacterales; Enterobacteriaceae. The record is from RNAcentral.